CACUCUAGAGAGACUGCCAGGGAUAACCUGGAGGAAGGUGGGGAUGACGUCAAAUCAUCAUGCCCCUUAUGCUUAGGGCUACACACGUGCUACAAUGGGUAGUACAGAGGGUUGCCAAGCCGUAAGGUGGAGCUAAUCCCUUAAAGCUACUCUCAGUUCGGAUUGUAGGCUGAAACUCGCCUACAUGAAGCUGGAGUUACUAGUAAUCGCAGAUCAGAAUGCUGCGGUGAAUGCGUUCCCGGGUCUUGUACACACCGCCCGUCACACCACGGGAGUUGGAGACGCCCGAAGCCGACUAUCUAACCUUUUGGAAGAAGUCGUCGAAGGUGGAAUCAAUAACUGGGGUGAAGUCGUAACAAGGUAGCCGUAUCGGAAGGUGCGGCUGGAUCACCUCCUUUCUAAGGAGA
This 407-nucleotide ribosomal RNA is filed under the name Clostridioides difficile. RNAcentral's name for it is "bacterial SSU rRNA". It matches the Rfam family "Bacterial small subunit ribosomal RNA", at positions 1136 to 1533 of the family's 1533-position model. Lineage: Bacteria; Bacillati; Bacillota; Clostridia; Peptostreptococcales; Peptostreptococcaceae. The record is from RNAcentral.